GAUGAACGCUAGCGGGAGGCCUAAUACAUGCAAGUCGAACGGUAACAGGGUAGCAAUACCGCUGACGAGUGGCGCACGGGUGCGUAACACGUACACAAUCUACCUUAUACUGGAGCAUAACCUCGGGAAACUGAGGCUAAUUCUCCAUAACAUAUUAAAAAGGCAUCUUUUUGUAUAUUAAAACUACCGGUGGUAGUAAGAUGAGUGUGCGUCUGAUUAGCUAGUUGGUGGGGUAACGGGCUCACCAAGGACGAACGAAUCAGUAGCUGGUCUGAGAGGAUGAUCAGCCACACGGGCGACUGAGACAC
RNAcentral lists this ribosomal RNA (308 nucleotides) under uncultured bacterium. RNAcentral's name for it is "bacterial SSU rRNA". It matches the Rfam family "Bacterial small subunit ribosomal RNA", at positions 28 to 327 of the family's 1533-position model. The record is from RNAcentral.